This is a long non-coding RNA of Portunus trituberculatus (swimming crab), 1927 nucleotides long. RefSeq lists it as uncharacterized. The transcript is spliced from 2 exons. NCBI's taxonomy places the organism in Eukaryota, Metazoa, Arthropoda, Malacostraca, Decapoda, Portunidae. The record is from RefSeq and is a predicted model, not a curated record.
GUCGUUCAUUCACUAGUGUAGGUAGUAACGUGGGUUAGAAUAGACUUGCGUAAUGUGUGGAGCAAGUAGUGUUUUUGUGGUCAUUAAAGGUGUGUAGGAAGGAAUUAUGCUUAACCUCCAAUACUGGGACACAUUUUUACGAGAAAUGUUUGAUUAAAUAUUGUUAAGUGGUGUAUGGAUGUCGCAAGAUCAAUGGCCACAAAAUUAAUGGCGUGGUCAUCACUAUUUUAAUUUAAUAAAUUUCUUUAGUUGUAUAAAAUCGCCAAAUACUAGCAGACGCGUCUUAGUACGGAAGGGAUUAAAUAAGAGUCGCUUUACUGUAGAACUCCUUAAGUUGUAUUGAUGCUAAUCCGUUUCAAUAUUGUCAUCGUGGUUCCCUCGUUAUAGGUCUAAUCGGCAAAAAGAAGUAGACAAGGUUUCUUUAUCGUAACGAUGCUGCUUCAAGUUAUGUGCAUUAGAAGAGAUAUAACCAUGAAAGUAGUUGUGGUGAGUGAGAGGACUGGACUCGUGCUGAAGUUAGUAUAACGAGGGUGAGGUAAACCACUGAGGAUUCAUUAUUAGAGUAGAAUGCGUAGUAAUGAAGCAAAUUCGAUCUUAAGUGGUAGUUAAGUGAACGGACGACUUUUAAUCAGGACGUAUCACUGUUGUAAACAGCUCCGCUGUUCAUGACAACGACUGCGAGUAUGUUGUGGAUAGGAAAGUGGCAUGAAAAGGACGAUAAUGGUGGAUAUGUGGAAUAAGUUCAAGUAAAUGGAGGGAAAGGUUCUCGAGAGAAGGAGGGAGUGGUUUAAGUUGUGUGGGGGAUGAGAAUGGCUAGGAGGAAUCAAAAGUGAACGUGAAUGGAUCGUAGCAUAAGAGGCAGUGGGAACUGAAUGCAAUGCGAUAAUAUGGAGAAACAGAAGAGAUGGUGUGGGGCGAGUGUUUGUGAGCGAGUUAGGGCACAAUAUGUAUUAGUCAAGACGUGAAGGAAAUGGGUGGUCUUGGUGGCAAGACUGUGUAGACGAGUGAAAGGCUAAUUGAGGCAGUGAAGGAGUUUUAAGACGAUGUGAUUAGUGAACAAAGAUACUGCUGUUCAUGUAUGUUUUUUGUCCAUUACAGGAGUUGACGAUCCAAAGGCCUGACUCCACAGCGAUAGUGAGCCUCCUCUACCAUCAAGGAAACUUUAUCUUGCACUACACCUUCACUGACAACGUUCACUACCAACACCUUUGCUUCGCCACCGCCUCAAGAUUGGGAAAGGCACUGCUUUGCAUCGCGCCCACACACACAGUAUACUCUAACGCCGCCGCUCAGAUGAUGGCUAGGUGGGUGAUAGAGGCAGGUGGUGUGGAGGCGGCCUGGCGACGAGAAACCGCAGAUGACGGCAGACACGGAAGAUUAAACUAACCAGAUGGGAGGAUCCAAAGGUCUGAUUGCAGCGAUCCUGCAUCAUCACGGAGGGACACUUGGCUUUGCACGACGCCUUCACUAACCCUCCCUCCAUCACCCAACCAACACCGCCGCCGCUACUGCCACUCGGGGGGAGAGGCUGCCUCGCUUGGGGCCUUCAUUUCCGUCCCGCUAACGCAUGCCGCCGCCGCCACUCCUGCCAUUAAGGGAUUCCGCCUCGCAGCGGCCCAGCAAACACCUGCUACCGCCGCCGCCGCCGCCGCCGCAGCAGCAGCAGCAAGAAAGAUUCUGCAUGGCACCUUGACCCUGCGUGGCCAUCACGUACUGGUACUCUGGUGGUGGUGGUCGUGUCCAGGGAGGGAAUAGUUGUGGUUGGCGUGGGAGUCUUCCCUCAGUGUGGAUGGUGUAUGUACUUAGACAGCUGUGGUGUUGUGGUGCCCUUACUCCAUUGUAAUAAACUGUCUUCACUGCCUCAUUGUGUCUUCACUGUACUAAUAAGAGCUGUUGUCACUAUUGAAUAAUAAAUUAUGAAAGAAAU